UCCGGUUCAUCACCAGCAGUCUCCUUAGAGUCCCCAACUUAAUGAUGGUAACUAAGGACAAGGGUUGCGCUCGUUACGGGACUUAACCCAACAUCUCACAACACGAGCUGACGACAGCCAUGCAGCACCUGUCUCUACGUUCCUUUCGGCACAACCAAAUCUCUUCGGUCUUCGUAGGAUGUCAAGGGUAGGUAAGGUUCUUCGCGUUGCAUCGAAUUAAACCACAUGCUCCACCGCUUGUGCGGGCCCCCGUCAAUUCCUUUGAGUUUUAACCUUGCGGUCGUACUCCCCAGGCGGAGAACUUAUCGCGUUAGCUUCGAUACUAACAGGUCAAGCCUGCCAACAUCUAGUUCUCAUCGUUUACAGCGUGGACUAC
RNAcentral lists this unclassified non-coding RNA (376 nucleotides) under uncultured Gammaproteobacteria bacterium. RNAcentral's name for it is "contains 16S-23S intergenic spacer region". Lineage: Bacteria; Pseudomonadati; Pseudomonadota; Gammaproteobacteria. The record is from RNAcentral.